CCUUUUCCUAUUUGUUGUUGUUUCCUGUUCUGUACGCUACUGAUUAGUGUUGGAGCACUUCGGCGGCAACUUCAAAGCGUCCAGAGGGUCCUUCGUCGUCACCAACUUCAUGGGUGGUAGAAGCCGACAGGCCAGAAACGCAGAGGUUGUUUAGCGCUUUGUCAUGCUACGACUUUCAGCGGGGCUGAAGAGCUGGUGGGGCCCCCACAUGCGCACUCACGUCCCGGCACAACACCGAGCUCUGUCGUCUCUCGGCUUUCAUACCAGAGUUGUCCGUCGUGAGGAAGUAAGUUUGCGUGCUCAUUAUUCAAACGUGUAGUUUUUCGCCAGCGUCAACGUGCAUCUGUUCCAAAUGGUUGUCCUAGAGGGCGGAGGAAUGCUGUCUUCUUCCGGAAAUCAAUACCUGCAGCCGGAUUAUUUGUCGCCGCUGCCGACAACGUUGGACGCUAAAAAGAGUCCGCUGGCGCUCCUCGCCCAGACCUGCAGCCAAAUCGGCGCCGACACCCCAUCGUCCAAGCCUCUGAUUUCCCCUUUAGAAAAACCCAAGAAGAACCAAGACAACGCCGCCCGCUCACCCUCCGUGAAAACCGAGAAAAACACCCAGAGAAGCAGCCCGUCGGAGAACAAGCUCGUGUUCAAACCCUACGAAACCACCGUCGUGACCAAGAAGGAGGACACUCGCCCCAGCUCCAAGUCUAGUUCUGUUCCUCAAAAUCCACAACCCGACGAAAAAAAGCCCGAAAGCCCCGACCGCAAAUCCGUGUCUCCGGCCACCAGCACCUCCGCCACUCCGGCCCCGGAAACUGGAAAGACCUCUCCCCCUUCGACUGAGAGCAAGUCGUCUCCGUCGGCGCGCGGCGCCAGCCCCAUAAUCCGAUCCGGGCUCGAGAUCCUGCAAGGCCACCCCAAAGACACCCCUCUGGGGGCCUACAAGCACGGCUCCUUAUCGUCCGGUUUAUCGUCGGGAUUGAACGGCCCCUUGGGAUCGCUGUGUUGUCCUCCCGGCCUCGAACACACGAAUCCGGCGUUCCGGCCCCCGUUUCCGGGGGCGCCCUUCUCGCACCACCACGCCGCCAUGCUCGCCGCGGGCUACCCGGGCGCCACGCCAGGACCGUACUUGAGUUACGCGCGCGUGAAGACUCCCUCAGGUGGUGAAGCUCUAGUUCCGGUGUGUAAAGACCCUUAUUGCACCAGUUGCCAGUUCAGCAUGCACAACCAGCAGUUGUUGAUGAGUGGUUCAGGGCCGUGUCCCAGCGGAUGCACGCAGUGCGACCACCAGAAGUACAACCUGGCGAUGGCGAUGUCGCUGGUUCCUCCAGGCCCGGUGCCGCCGUCGUCGCUGGCAUACCCCCAACUGGGGAGACCGUACGUGUGUAACUGGAUAGCCGGAGAUACUUAUUGUGGGAAGAGGUUCGUGACGAGCGAGGAGUUGCUGCAGCAUUUGAGAACACACACGAGCGGGUCGGAUGGUGCUGGGGUUGCUACGUCUUCGGCGUCGCCGCUGCUAAACCCGCACUCGCUGUUCUCGUCGGCGUCGUUGCACAGGCCCGGGUAUCCGAACCCUCCGCUGAGCCCGUUGUCCGCGGCCAGGUACCACCCGUACGGGAAACCCACCUUGCCUAGCUCUCUGGGGGCUUCUCCGUACAGUGCUUUCAACCCGACGGCCCUUGGAGCUUACUACUCUCCGUACUCGGUGUACGGACAGCGUCUCGGCGCCGCCGCCGUGCACCCGUAGUGAUACUUUGGAUCGUAUGAACAUUCUUCGCGGAAACUCCAGGAACGACGAGAGUAAGCGGUCCUGUAGUUCGCCUUCGGGAAGGAUGUGAUUCUCAUUGACUGUACAGCCCGCGCCUGUACCGGUCUGUUGCUCCACUGUGAUAACGUGUAUAUAGAAGCUGAAGCUAAGUGCAAUCUGAAGCGGACUAAUCAUAGGCAAUAAAUUCCGAUCAGUCCAAUUCUAAGUUAUUCUCUCGUUCAAUACUUAUCUUUGAAUUGAAAUAUUUGUAUAGACUAAUGGCUUUGUUGUUUCAUUUUGUGGGGGCAGGUGGGCUGGCAGAUGGGUGUGAAAGCCACAAUGAUGGAUUGCCGGCGAGUGACCUUCCCUUGGCAUCUCCAAUCUCUUGUGUAUGAUGGAUCACCUGAGCACGUCACGAGCUCAUUCAUCAUCGCGUCUUGGGGUGACGGCACGCCACUGCGCUAAUUGAAACCCGUUUCGAAAUGCCCCAAUAAAUACAUUAUCGUGUGUCGGGAGCAGUUUGUUUUCGUACAGAUAACAAACCGUAAAACGUUCAUCAAACGUCUAUAUUUCUCUCAAGCGCAGGCGUUCGCCGGAGGACGUGUUGUUAGGCGCGUUUAAGAGG
Molecule: RNA transcript, 2360 nt
Organism: Zophobas morio
Lineage: Eukaryota; Metazoa; Arthropoda; Insecta; Coleoptera; Tenebrionidae
Gene name: zinc finger protein Noc
Exons: 3
Source: RefSeq, a predicted model, not a curated record